Molecule: ribosomal RNA, 1498 nt
Filed under: uncultured bacterium
Lineage: Bacteria
Description: partial 16S ribosomal RNA
Rfam family: Bacterial small subunit ribosomal RNA
Source: RNAcentral
UAGAGUUUGAUCCUGGCUCAGAACGAACGCUGGCGGCAGGCCUAACACAUGCAAGUCGAGCGGUAGAGAGAAGCUUGCUUCUCUUGAGAGCGGCGGACGGGUGAGUAAUGCCUAGGAAUCUGCCUGGUAGUGGGGGAUAACGUCCGGAAACGGACGCUAAUACCGCAUACGUCCUACGGGAGAAAGCAGGGGACCUUCGGGCCUUGCGCUAUCAGAUGAGCCUAGGUCGGAUUAGCUAGUUGGUGAGGUAAUGGCUCACCAAGGCGACGAUCCGUAACUGGUCUGAGAGGAUGAUCAGUCACACUGGAACUGAGACACGGUCCAGACUCCUACGGGAGGCAGCAGUGGGGAAUAUUGGACAAUGGGCGAAAGCCUGAUCCAGCCAUGCCGCGUGUGUGAAGAAGGUCUUCGGAUUGUAAAGCACUUUAAGUUGGGAGGAAGGGCAGUUGCCUAAUACGUAACUGUUUUGACGUUACCGACAGAAUAAGCACCGGCUAACUCUGUGCCAGCAGCCGCGGUAAUACAGAGGGUGCAAGCGUUAAUCGGAAUUACUGGGCGUAAAGCGUGCGCAGGCGGUUGUGUAAGUCAGAUGUGAAAUCCCCGGGCUCAACCUGGGAAUUGCAUUUGAGACUGCACGGCUAGAGUGUGUCAGAGGGGGGUAGAAUUCCACGUGUAGCAGUGAAAUGCGUAGAUAUGUGGAGGAAUACCGAUGGCGAAGGCAGCCCCCUGGGAUAACACUGACGCUCAUGCACGAAAGCGUGGGGAGCAAACAGGAUUAGAUACCCUGGUAGUCCACGCCCUAAACGAUGUCUACUAGUUGUCGGGUCUUAAUUGACUUGGUAACGCAGCUAACGCGUGAAGUAGACCGCCUGGGGAGUACGGUCGCAAGAUUAAGACUCAAAGGAAUUGACGGGGACCCGCACAAGCGGUGGAUGAUGUGGAUUAAUUCGAAGCAACGCGCAGAACCUUACCACCUUUUGACAUGCCUGGACCGCCACAGAGAUGUGGUUUUCCCUUCGGGGACUGGGACACAGGUGCUGCAUGGCUGUCGUCAGCUCGUGUCGUGAGAUGUUGGGUUAAGUCCCGCAACGAGCGCAACCCUCGCGAUUAGUUGCCAUCAGGUUUGGCUGGGCACUCUAAUCGUACUGCCGGAGUUAAUCCGGAGGAAGGCGGGGAUGACGUCAAGUCCUCAUGGCCCUUACAAGGUGGGCUACACACGUGCUACAAUGGCGACUACAGAGGGCUGCAAUCCCGCGAGGGGGAGCCAAUCCCUAAAAGUCGUCUCAGUUCGGAUUGUUCUCUGCAACUCGAGAGCAUGAAGUUGGAAUCGCUAGUAAUCGCGGAUCAGCAUGCCGCGGUGAAUACGUUCCCGGGCCUUGUACACACCGCCCGUCACACCAUGGGAGUUGGCUUUACCCGAAGGCGCUGCGCUAACCGCAAGGAGGCAGGCGACCACGGUAGGGUCAGCGACUGGGGUGAAGUCGUAACAAGGUAACCA